AUUGUUACGCGAUACUACACUCAUAAGAGUCUCUCUUAAGAAUAUUUUUGGAAUACGCGUAGUCAUUUAUCCGAUAAUAUCCGAAAGAUGGGAUGAUGACUAUGGGAACCUCUUGUAGAACAUGUUUGCCAAGUUUAAACCCUAGUACGCUCCCUUUGGGUGGUUCUUAACCGAGACUCCAUGCUCGUGACUUGAAACAAACCCUUGAUUCAUGGUUGAUCCGUUCAUGGGUCCUUAAU
RNAcentral lists this long non-coding RNA (239 nucleotides) under Lathyrus oleraceus (garden pea). Its description in RNAcentral is "Pisum sativum (pea) long non-coding RNA (PSAT_LNC006440)". Lineage: Eukaryota; Viridiplantae; Streptophyta; Magnoliopsida; Fabales; Fabaceae. The record is from RNAcentral.